RNAcentral lists this unclassified non-coding RNA (478 nucleotides) under Yarrowia lipolytica. Lineage: Eukaryota; Fungi; Ascomycota; Dipodascomycetes; Dipodascales. The record is from RNAcentral.
CCCUAUUAAAUCGUCGAGUGUGAAAGAUAGCGUCGCAGUUGUUCUUUUCACCAUUACUUGUUUGCAAUACUUCUACUCAUCGCUUUUCCUUCACACAAAACACUACAACAUGGCCAAAGCACAAGAGAACAAGCUGGAACUGGCUGGUAUCCUGCUCUUCUUCAUUCUGUCUGCUGCUCUUUUCACCAGAGACAUUCGGUCCUUCCAACGAGACAUUCUGCCGUCCUACAUGGAGACGGAUAUGGCCAACAUGCUGGGCAUGGACAUUUCUGUUUUCCUUUUCAUCGAGCGGGCCAUUCUCUUUGUUACACCUCUUAUCAUUGCCCUGAGGCGAAAGGCCGACGAUGAUCAACCUCAGCAGGAGUUUGACGUUCCUGUCGAGCUGCUCAUGUAGGCCUCGACGACCCAUACUAACCGCUUGACUGCUUUUUCUCGACAGUCAUCCAACCACAUAGACAAAGAGAUUAUGAACAGAGUA